Molecule: long non-coding RNA, 511 nt
Organism: Larimichthys crocea (large yellow croaker)
Lineage: Eukaryota; Metazoa; Chordata; Actinopteri; Sciaenidae
Exons: 3
Source: RefSeq, a predicted model, not a curated record
UGGUUGUAAUGAUUUGUAAGCGUUAGCAGGUCUGUGUGGUCACAGACGGUAUUGCACCAUUCCCCAUGUCUCCUUGGAGAAGCCAGGUGAAGCUAAUUAAGAUUUUUUUAAUUAUGAAAGAAUAUGCACUCACUGUCAGAGACUGUGAAUGGACAGAGGAGGAGAAACCAUGUCAUGGUCUGACCUUACAAGAAACAAAAAUUAUUCUAUAAACAGCUGUCGACACGGAGACUUGAAAAGAAAGGGAGGAAGAGUGGACGUGGACUUCAAAUAACAGGGAGCCAACAACAUUGUGAAGUCAUCCCAUGGUCUAGUGCACCUAUAAAUGACCAGAACUACAGAUAUGGUACUUCUCUAUCUGUUUGUGUGAUGAAGAACCCGUGCACAUAAAAUGUGCCAUUAGUGCAGAAACAGUAUCUAGACGUUGCUGCUACAUUUGUGCGUCUGCAGCUCCUCUGACUCCUUACAGAUGUGUUGAAAUAUCAAAGAAUGCAGAUGAAGUGAUUUAACG